RNAcentral lists this ribosomal RNA (274 nucleotides) under uncultured bacterium. RNAcentral's name for it is "partial 16S ribosomal RNA". It matches the Rfam family "Bacterial small subunit ribosomal RNA", at positions 523 to 796 of the family's 1533-position model. The record is from RNAcentral.
AUACAGAGGGUGCGAGCGUUAAUCGGAAUUACUGGGCGUAAAGCGCGCGUAGGCGGCUUGGUCAGUCGGAUGUGAAAGCCCUGGGCUCAACCUGGGAAUUGCAUUCGAUACUGCCAAGCUAGAGUAUGGGAGAGGGAAGUGGAAUUUCCGGUGUAGCGGUGAAAUGCGUAGAUAUCGGAAAGAACACCAGUGGCGAAGGCGUCUUCCUGGCCCAAUACUGACGCUGAGGUGCGAAAGCGUGGGGAGCGAACGGGAUUAGAAACCCGAGUAGUCC